RNAcentral lists this ribosomal RNA (252 nucleotides) under uncultured bacterium. RNAcentral describes it as "partial 16S ribosomal RNA". It matches the Rfam family "Bacterial small subunit ribosomal RNA", at positions 524 to 776 of the family's 1533-position model. The record is from RNAcentral.
UACGGAGGACGCGAGCGUUAUCCGGAUUUAUUGGGUUUAAAGGGUGCGUAGGCGGAGUGUCAAGUCAGCGGUAAAAUUUCGGGGCUCAACCCCGUCGUGCCGUUGAAACUGACGCCCUUGAGUGAGUGAGAAGUAAGCGGAAUGCGUGGUGUAGCGGUGAAAUGCAUAGAUAUCACGCAGAACGCCGAUUGCGAAGGCAGCCUACCGGCGCUCAACUGACGCUGAGGCACGAAAGUGCGGGUAUCGAACAGG